This is a long non-coding RNA of Homo sapiens (human), 2345 nucleotides long. The record is from Ensembl. NCBI's taxonomy places the organism in Eukaryota, Metazoa, Chordata, Mammalia, Primates, Hominidae.
GUAACCCAGGCUGGAGUGCAGUGGUGACAAUAUCGCUCACUGCAGCCUCAACCUUCUGGGCUCAAGUGAUCCUUCCACCUUAGCCUACUGAAUAGCUGGGACCACAGGUGUGCACCACUAUGCCUGGCUAAGGUUUUCAUUUUUUUAGAGACAAGAUCUCACCAUGUUGCUCAGGCGGGUCUCAAACCCCUGGGCUCAAGCUAACCUCCUGCCUCAGCCAAUCAAAGUAUUGGGAUUAUAUGAGUGAGCCCCCACACCUGGCCUUGUUUGGCUUUUCUACAUAGGACUUUAAAAAUCCAAUUUAAGGAACACAAUAUAUGAAAGUAGAGCCAGGCACAGUGGCAUGUGACUCUAGUCACUCUCAACUACUUGGGAGGCUGAGGUGGGAGGAUCCCUUAAACCCAGGAGUUUGUGUCAGGCCUGGGCAACAUAAUGAGACCUUGUUUUUUUAAAAAGGGAAGUACAAUACUGCCUAUAUCUUACUGAACUGAAAAGUACAGUUAUAAUAUUCUUCCUUAUUUUGUGCUGUAACUUCCACCCAAUUAUCUUACUUGUGUCCUCUGGAAGGUCAUGUAUACAUAUUAAUAUUCUCCUUGCUAUAAACGACAGGCUUCUUAGAGGAAACUAUUAUAUCCUACUUCAUCCCCAUCUCUACCAUCCAAAUUAGACUCCUUAGUUGGGUACACUAGCCUCAGUUCUUUCAAGUCACAUGGCAUGGUUUCUAUAUCAUUUAUGAAUCUUGCCUAUCAUCCAAAGUAUUUGCUGUUCAGUUUGUCAACUGUAGAAAGAUUUUUAAUUCCAUUGUGUCAAAAAAUCUUUGUAUUAUUUUAAUCCUUUUAAAUUUAUUGAGGCUUGUGUUAUGGCCUGACAUAUGGUUUAUCCUGGAGAAUGUUCCAUGUGCACUAAGAAAUUUUGCUGUUCUUGGGAGUGUUCUGCAGAUGUGUAUUAGGUCUGGUUGGUUUAUAGUGUUGUUUGAGUCUUCUAUUUACAGAUGUGCCCUGACUUAUGAUGGUUUGACUUAUGAUUUUUUGACUUUACAGUGGUGCAAAAAUGAUACAUAUAAAAUACACUCCUCAAUUUAUGAUGGGUUUGUCAGGAUGCAACACCCUUGUAAAUUGAGGAGCAUAUGUCCUUGUCAAUCUUACAUCUAGUUAUUGUCUUCAUUAUUGAAAGCGGGGUAUUGAAGUUUCCAACUAUUAUUGGAUAAUUUAAUAUUUCUUUUUUCAAUUCUAUCUGUUUUCGCUUUAUGGACAUUGGGCUUUGUUGUUAGGUGCAAAUAUAUUUAUAAUUGUUAUAACUCCCCUAUAAGCUAAUCUUUUUUGAUUACAAAGUGUUUCUCUUUGUAUGUAGUGGCUUUAUUUAGUGUAAAAGUCUAUUUUAUCUGAUAUUAUUGUAGCCAUCUCUAGGUCUUUUAUGGUUGCUGUUUGUGUGCAUAUCUUUUUUUAUCUUUUUAUUUUCAACCUAUCUGUAUCUUUGAACCUAAACUGGGUCAAAACACAUAGUUAACAGCAUCUGGUUGUAUGUAGAGAGCACAGAGUUGGAUCUUAUUUUUAUUUUAAUUCAGUCGACAGUCUCUGAUUUUUUUUUCUUUUCUUUUCUUUUUUUUUGACAGAGUCUCACUCUGUUGUCCAGUCUGGAGCACAGUGGUGUGGUCACAGCUCACUGCGGCUUCAAUCUCUAUGGGCUCAGGUGAUCCUUCCACCUAAGCCUCCUCAGUAUCUGGGACUACAGGAAUGUGCCACUAUAUCCAGCUAAUUUUUCUAUUUUUUGUAGAGAUGGAGUUUUGCCAUGUUGCCCAGGCUGGUCUCAAACUCCUGUGCUCAAGUGAUCCAUCCAUCCCAGCCUCUCAAAGAGCUGAAAUUACGGAGCCACUGCACCUGUCUCUGAUUUUUUAUUGGACUGUUUAAUCCAUUUACAUUUAAUGCUAUUAUUGAUAUGGUUGGAUUUACAUCUGAUAUUUUGCUUUUCGUUUUCUGUAUCUUUCAUAUCUUUUUUGUUCACCUCUUCCUCCUUUACUGCCUUCUUUUGCCAUUCCUUCACUUGUUUUUUAACUACAUCUAUUUAGUUAUUUUAUUAGCGAUGGCUCUAGGGCUUACAAUAUAUUAGACUACAGAUUUAUUUUUCAAAAAUUUAGAUCUUAUUUGCUUACCCACAGGAUUUGAGGCAGACUUGACUUUUUCCCUUAAGUCUUAAUCACAUUUUUGUUACCAUUGUUGAUCAGAAGGUGCCAAGCAAAAUUCUCUAAUAUUUUGCUCUCAUCUAGUCUUCUGACAUAUCUCACUGUCUCUGUAAUUCCUCAACAAUGAUUGGUCCUUCAAUCAAACCUCCAAAUUCUGUUAGUACCC